Molecule: ribosomal RNA, 373 nt
Filed under: uncultured eukaryote
Lineage: Eukaryota
Description: partial 18S ribosomal RNA
Rfam family: Eukaryotic small subunit ribosomal RNA
Source: RNAcentral
CAAUAGCGUAUAUUAAAGUUGUUGCAGUUAAAAAGCUCGUAGUUGAAUUUUUGCUUGCCGCCGAUGUCGGAACUUCCGUACGUUCGGCGGCGUGCAUCCUUGGGUGGAACCUGUGUGGCAUUAGGUUGUCGUGCAGGGGAUGCUCAUCGUUUACUGUGAAAAAAUUAGAGUGUUCAAAGCAGACUUACGCCGUUGAAUAUAUUAGCAUGGAAUAAUAAGAUAGGACCUUGGUACUAUUUUGUUGGUUUGCGCACCGAGGUAAUGAUUAACAGGGACAGUUGGGGGUAUUCGUAUUCCAUUGUCAGAGGUGAAAUUCUUGGAUUUCUGGAAGACGAACUACUGCGAAAGCAUUUACCAAGGAUGUUUUCAUUAA